GGGGAUUAGUGGCGAACGGGUGAGUAACACGUGAGUAACCUGCCCUUGACUCUGGGAUAAGCCUGGGAAACUGGGUCUAAUACCGGAUAUGACCUUCCAUCGCAUGGUGGUUGGUGGAAAGCUUUUGUGGUUUUGGAUGGACUCGCGGCCUAUCAGCUUGUUGGUGGGGUAAUGGCCUACCAAGGCGACGACGGGUAGCCGGCCUGAGAGGGUGACCGGCCACACUGGGACUGAGACACGGCCCAGACUCCUACGGGAGGCAGCAGUGGGGAAUAUUGCACAAUGGGCGCAAGCCUGAUGCAGCGACGCCGCGUGAGGGAUGACGGCCUUCGGGUUGUAAACCUCUUUCAGUAGGGAAGAAGCGAAAGUGACGGUACCUGCAGAAGAAGCGCCGGCUAACUACGUGCCAGCAGCCGCGGUAAUACGUAGGGCGCAAGCGUUAUCCGGAAUUAUUGGGCGUAAAGAGCUCGUAGGCGGUUUGUCGCGUCUGCCGUGAAAGUCCGGGGCUCAACUCCGGAUCUGCGGUGGGUACGGGCAGACUAGAGUGAUGUAGGGGAGACUGGAAUUCCUGGUGUAGCGGUGAAAUGCGCAGAUAUCAGGAGGAACACCGAUGGCGAAGGCAGGUCUCUGGGCAUUAACUGACGCUGAGGAGCGAAAGCAUGGGGAGCGAACAGGAUUAGAUACCCUGGUAGUCCAUGCCGUAAACGUUGGGCACUAGGUGUGGGGGACAUUCCACGUUUUCCGCGCCGUAGCUAACGCAUUAAGUGCCCCGCCUGGGGAGUAC
RNAcentral lists this ribosomal RNA (784 nucleotides) under Pseudarthrobacter sp. RNAcentral describes it as "bacterial SSU rRNA". It matches the Rfam family "Bacterial small subunit ribosomal RNA", at positions 87 to 883 of the family's 1533-position model. The record is from RNAcentral. Lineage: Bacteria; Bacillati; Actinomycetota; Actinomycetes; Micrococcales; Micrococcaceae.